Molecule: ribosomal RNA, 253 nt
Filed under: uncultured bacterium
Lineage: Bacteria
Description: partial 16S ribosomal RNA
Rfam family: Bacterial small subunit ribosomal RNA
Source: RNAcentral
GACGUAGGGCGCAAGCGUUGUCCGGAUUUAUUGGGCGUAAAGAGCUCGUAGGCGGCUUGUUGCGUCGUCCGUGAAAACCUGGGGCUCAACUUCAGGUCUGCGGACGAUACGGGCAGGCUGGAGUUCGGUAGGGGAGACUGGAAUUCCUGGUGUAGCGGUGAAAUGCGCAGAUAUCAGGAGGAACACCGGUGGCGAAGGCGGGUCUCUGGGCCGAUACUGACGCUGAGGAGCGAAAGCGUGGGGAGCGAACAGG